GACGAACGCUGGCGGCGUGCUUAACACAUGCAAGUCGAACGGAAAGGCCCUGCUUUUGUGGUGUGCUCGAGUGGCGAACGGGUGAGUAACACGUGAGUAACCUGCCCUUGACUUUGGGAUAACUUCAGGAAACUGGGGCUAAUACCGGAUAGGAGCUCCUGCUGCAUGGUGGGGGUUGGAAAGUUUCGGCGGUUGGGGAUGGACUGGCGGCUUAUCAGCUUGUUGGUGGGGUAGUGGCUUACCAAGGCUUUGACGGGUAGCCGGCCUGAGAGGGUGACCGGCCACAUUGGGACUGAGAUACGGCCCAGACUCCUACGGGAGGCAGCAGUGGGGAAUAUUGCACAAUGGGCGGAAGCCUGAUGCAGCAACGCCGCGUGCGGGAUGACGGCCUUCGGGUUGUAAACCGCUUUCGCCUGUGACGAAGCGUGAGUGACGGUAAUGGGUAAAGAAGCACCGGCUAACUACGUG
Molecule: ribosomal RNA, 468 nt
Filed under: uncultured bacterium
Lineage: Bacteria
Description: partial 16S ribosomal RNA
Rfam family: Bacterial small subunit ribosomal RNA
Source: RNAcentral